Molecule: unclassified non-coding RNA, 374 nt
Filed under: uncultured Gammaproteobacteria bacterium
Lineage: Bacteria; Pseudomonadati; Pseudomonadota; Gammaproteobacteria
Description: contains 16S-23S intergenic spacer region
Source: RNAcentral
UCCGGUUUGUCACCGGCAGUCUCAUUAGAGUGCCCUUUCGUAGCAACUAAUGACAAGGGUUGCGCUCGUUGCGGGACUUAACCCAACAUCUCACGACACGAGCUGACGACAGCCAUGCAGCACCUGUGUACUGGUUCUCUUUCGAGCACUCCCUGAUCUCUCAAGGAUUCCAGCCAUGUCAAGGGUAGGUAAGGUUUUUCGCGUUGCAUCGAAUUAAUCCACAUCAUCCACCGCUUGUGCGGGUCCCCGUCAAUUCCUUUGAGUUUUAAUCUUGCGACCGUACUCCCCAGGCGGACGACUUCGCGCGUUAGCUUCGGCACGGGGGGAGUCGACACCCCCCACACCUAGCACCCAUCGUUUACGGCGUGGACUAC